GUCGAGCUUGGAAACGCGGGCUUGUGAUCCAAGUGGAGACAACAAGGUGACAGGACGUUGGACUGAUCUUUUUGGGCCGGGUUCGUGUUUGCUAUUUACUGACCUGCCCAUUCCAAGUCGGGAGUUGGGUGUUCGGACUUGAGCGAAGGCUUGCGGUUUGGACACUCUUAGAGCGGAGGAGAUCACGGGCUGGUGCCUCCCGAGUCCCACUUUGUUUAAUACCAUUGGGGUUUUUUACUG
This 240-nucleotide non-coding RNA is filed under the name Brassica napus (rape). Lineage: Eukaryota; Viridiplantae; Streptophyta; Magnoliopsida; Brassicales; Brassicaceae. The record is from RNAcentral.